GACGAACGCUGGCGGCGUGCUUAACACAUGCAAGUCGAACGGAAAGGCCUCUUUCGGGGGGUACUCGAGUGGCGAACGGGUGAGUAACACGUGAGUAACCUGCCCUUGACUUUGGGAUAACUUCAGGAAACUGGGGCUAAUACCGGAUAGGAGCUCCUGCUGCAUGGUGGGGGUUGGAAAGGUUCGGCGGUUGGGGAUGGACUCGCGGCUUAUCAGCUUGUUGGUGGGGUAGUGGCUUACCAAGGCUUUGACGGGUAGCCGGCCUGAGAGGGUGACCGGCCACAUUGGGACUGAGAUACGGCCCAGACUCCUACGGGAGGCAGCAGUGGGGAAUAUUGCACAAUGGGUGGAAGCCUGAUGCAGCAACGCCGUGUGCGGGAUGACGGCCUUCGGGUUGUAAACCGCUUUCGCUCAUGACGAAGCUUUGUGUGACGGUAGUGGGUAAAGAAGCACCGGCUAACUACGU
RNAcentral lists this ribosomal RNA (466 nucleotides) under uncultured bacterium. Its description in RNAcentral is "partial 16S ribosomal RNA". It matches the Rfam family "Bacterial small subunit ribosomal RNA", at positions 28 to 506 of the family's 1533-position model. The record is from RNAcentral.